Molecule: ribosomal RNA, 162 nt
Filed under: Hordeum murinum subsp. leporinum
Lineage: Eukaryota; Viridiplantae; Streptophyta; Magnoliopsida; Poales; Poaceae
Description: 5.8S ribosomal RNA
Rfam family: 5.8S ribosomal RNA
About the family: 5.8S ribosomal RNA (5.8S rRNA) is a component of the large subunit of the eukaryotic ribosome.
Source: RNAcentral
ACGACUCCCGGUAACGGAUAUCUCGGCUCUUGCAUCGAUGAAGAACGUAGAGAAAUGCGAUACCUGGUGUGAAUUGCAGAAUCCCGCGAACCAUCGAGUCUUUGAACGCAAGUUGCGCCCGAGGCCACUCGGUCGAGGGCACGCCUACCUGGGCGUCACGCC